AUUGAACGCUGGCGGCAUGCCUUACACAUGCAAGUCGAACGGCAUCCCUGGAGCUUGCUCCUGGUGGCGUGUGGCGAACGGGUGAGUAAUACAUCGGAACGUGCCCUGAAGUGGGGGAUAACGUAGCGAAAGUUACGCUAAUACCGCAUAUUCUGUGAGCAGGAAAGCAGGGGAUCUUCGGACCUUGUGCUUUAGGAGCGGCCGAUGUCGGAUUAGCUAGUUGGUGGGGUAAAGGCCUACCAAGGCGACGAUCCGUAGCGGGUCUGAGAGGAUGAUCCGCCACACUGGAACUGAGACACGGUCCAGACUCCUACGGGAAGCAGCAGUGGGGAAUUUUGGACAAUGGGGGCAACCCUGAUCCAGCCAUGCCGCGUGAGUGAAGAAGGCCUUCGGGUUGUAAAGCUCUUUCGGCGGGGAAGAAAUGGCGUGGGUUAAUACCCUGCGUUGAUGACGGUACCCGCAUAAGAAGCACCGGCUAACUACGUGCCAGCCGCCGCGGUAA
Molecule: ribosomal RNA, 502 nt
Filed under: uncultured bacterium
Lineage: Bacteria
Description: partial 16S ribosomal RNA
Rfam family: Bacterial small subunit ribosomal RNA
Source: RNAcentral